Molecule: non-coding RNA, 3669 nt
Organism: Macaca mulatta (Rhesus monkey)
Lineage: Eukaryota; Metazoa; Chordata; Mammalia; Primates; Cercopithecidae
Source: RefSeq, a predicted model, not a curated record
CCAGUCUCGGGUAUUUUUUCAUAGCGGUAUGAAAAUGGACUAAUACACCUGGCAUACGUGAUAUGUAACUAUAUAUACAAGACUGGGUACGCCUUCAUCCACUGUAACAGCAAAUCAUGGUUGACGUGACAGAACCAACUAGCAGCACAUAAAGUCACCCACUAAAUGUCGCAUCAAUAUGCAGGACUGAGCCACUGAAUGAUUAAAGCCAGACCUGCAAGUAGAGUGGGCUCCUUUCAGGUAAGAGCAUCAAGGGCUGAACGCUUUGCACUGUUAAGUAUGAUCUAUUAAAUUUUCUGAAACCCACCGUUUUUGUUGACUCGCUAGGUCUAAAGCACAGCGCUGGAGGAAUGAGACCAGUGUCAGAAGAGAAGGCAGCAUGGGAGAUACCAGAGAUGGGGAGGGCAAGAGGCAGCCCACAGUAGCAGGUGGUAGGUGGUGUGCAGACACAGGGCAGAGCCUGCAAGUCUUGGUGCAACUCCUGUCCCAUAUUUCACCGAGUUCCAAUCAAGUCUGUUUUAAAGCAGAAUUCAACUGAUGUGUAUAAAUUAUAUUUUAUUCACAGUAGGCCUAGAAGAAGCUCCGCAGUCUGACCAACUUUAUGGUUCAUGUAUCUAAGGCACGUUUCAGUGUCUCCUGUUCCCUUUGUAGCAAGGUUUUCAAAGAGCCCCUUGCAUUUUUUUUUUUUUAAAGAGAUGGAAUCUUGCUCUAUCACCCAGGCUGGAGUGCUAUGGCACGAUCAUCACUCACUGUGGCCUCAAGCAGUCCUCCCGCCUCAGCCUCCCCAAUAGCUGGGAUUACAGGUGCAAGCCACCACAUGGCGUCCACUGCUUUUAUUAAGAACUGGAAGGCAUCUGGAUCAGUCUCCUUUUUCAAUACACACAAAGAGAAGCUUAGAAAGGAAAGGCAAAGGGGAAAUUGCAUCCAUGGGGCAUUUAUUAUGGGUAACUUAAAUCAUAAUUUAUGAUCAUAGGUAAUUGUAUAUAUAUCUUCACACAAUGGGGCAGGUGAUACUAUCUUCAUUUUAUUAUAUAGAGGGAAAAAUAAGGUUCAGGGUUACACAGCUGGUUAAUGAACAAGAUCUGUGCCCCAUCUGAGGUGCUAAGUCUGUCCUAGCUAAGCCAAUGCUAUCCUUUUCUGGACUUGAGGACGUAGAUGAUGCUACUGAAUAUGCCCUGGAUGGCUAUUUGCUCAUAGGUUCUUUAGAAAUUAACAUGACAACUGAAUGCUGAUUUUGUUCUCAUAUAAUUGACAUUACUAACAUUUAAAAGCCUCAAAUGUUUGCUAUUCAAUAUUUUAUGAAUAUUUUUAUGAAAGAAUACAUUAGGUUUCUUUUAUGGUUACGAGAAACCAGGUUAAUUAGAUUUGUACAAUGAACAAAAGUCUGGCCAGUGUGCUGGAGCCAGGGAAUCCCUAAUGUAACAGACUGUCUCCAACUUUCAGCUCUGCUUUCCAGAAUAUGGGCAUCAUUCUCAAGCAAGCUCUCCACACGUGGAGGCCAAGAUUCCCCCAUGGCGCUAGAAUCCCAUCUUUCUUCCAGCUCCACAGCCCCAGCAAAAGUCCCUGGACACAUGGGAUUGGCCAUCUUGAGUCACAAGUCCGUUCCUGAUCCAAUUACUCCAGAUCCUGGGGCUGCCCCUGAUGGGGAGGGAGGGAGCAGAUAGGAAGUUCUCCAAAGGGAGGCGGAAAAUGCCCGAUGUCUCCUCCAGGGUUCCCUCAUUCAUCCACCCUGAAUGAAGACAGAUACUCACCUGGUCAUGGCCUGAGAUCCAACCAAAGCCUGAGAGGUGACUCAGCCACCAGAUACUCAGGUGACUUAGCCACAAGACACUCAGGGUUCAUUAGAAUUGUCUAGUCCCAGCUCUGCUUCCUCCAAGCUGUGAGACCUCGAGGCACUGCAGUAACGCCUCUGAGUCUUCCUGUUCUCAUUUGAAGGACAGGACUAAUACCUGUCCUUCCUGCCUCAUGGGGUUGUUACAAGGAUCAAAUGAAGUGGUGCUCUUGACCAGUGGCAAGAACUUCAGAAAUGUGGGUUGUAAUGAUUUGUAUUUGUUAGCAGUAAAUAAAAGUGCUUGGAACCAACUGGCAGCCUCUGGGGCAAUUAAGUGUAGAAAAUAAAACCCAUGCCUUUUGGAAACUAGCAUUCUUCCACAUAUAUUGCUUCCAGACUACUAAAUGGAAGUUGUUUCUGGAAGAUUGAUAGAUUUAAAAAUUUUGGCCUUAGAGCCCCUUUUUGCAUCCCACAGAAAGGGGCUCCGCUCACAAGGAAGUCUUCACCCCUAGACUGAGCCUCCCAGCAGCACACCCUGAACAACUCUGCAGAGCUAACCAGUGCACUUCCUGUCCUGCAAGUACCGUUACUGAUACCUGCUGCCUCCCAGAAAGAAGUGGCAGCAUCUGAUUGGUGGGGUUGGGGGAAUUAGGGAAUGCAUGUUAAUGUGAACCCCAAGAGUGAGUUGAUAGCUGGUGAAGAGGGAGAAGGUAGAGGUGAGGGCCUUUAGGUUGGCCGGCUGGGCUGGCCUCGCAGUCAGUAAAGCCCCUCAUGCAGAGCCACUCAUCUCCUGCUGGGAACCGCUGACCUUUUGGUUCAGAUGCCUGAUGUAAACUCACCGAUAUGGGAGGGGAGGAUCUCAAUGGGUAGGAGGAAGCAGGGAAAGUUACUAGGACAGAUAGAUUCUAAGGCUUAUCUGAAAGGAAGGAAGGAGUUGUGAUGUGCUACCUGGGAGGUCCAAGGGAGAAGGGCCUGGGCAGUGUGCACCACUGGUGAGGGUGUGAAAAAUGGGCUGGUGACUGGCCACCGAAUGGCUUGGGGAGAAGUGGCCGGAGAGAGGGUCACCUGUGUGGUGGGAAGGGUCAGACAAGUGUUUUUACAUGUUAUGAGAAUGUCUACGUUUGACACAAGAAACUCCUAAGUUUGCAAAGAAAGGAUACACAGCCACCUUCCUUCGAUAUCAGAAACAACAUGCUGGGGAUUAAAAAUAAUUACUUGGCCAAGAACCUUACCAUUUACCAGAAUGCAUCCAUGCAGUAAAUAUUUGGAUGUCUAUUACGUGCCUGGCAUGUCCCAUUUCACCCACAGGACGAAGUCCAUUUUAUAAAUGAAGAAACUGAAGCUCAAAAGUAUGUGAAUCUGUCUGAGGUUUCAGUCUUCUUAAAGAUGAGAGCAAACUUCUGCUUCUUGUUCUCCUCUAAUACCAUAGCACACUCAAGAAAUGAGCAUCUUUAGUUGUGCUUGGAUUGGCCGAAUCUGCCUUUAGGUAGAGGAGCAGACUUAAUGGCUUUAAUGAGCCACUUAACUACUUUCUAGAGACAACCUGGAGAUGCUUUUGAAGAGCCCAGUCUGAGACCUGGUUCCAUUUUUCCAUUCCUUCUGUGUCCCUGCCCCCAACCCCCACCCCCAGAACACAUUUGGCAGUGAAGGGGCUCCAAUUCCUGUUCUUGGGAGUGGCACCCACUUGUGCUCAAAGUAGACUUAAGUGGCUUGAAAGUUAAGUGCAAGGGUCGGGAGAAGGACUUGACUGCAUGAGGGAACUUUUAGAGGUUAUAGAAAUGUUUCUACCGUAAUUGUGGCAUUUGUAACAUUUAAUAAAACUUGAAUUAUAUACUAAAUUGGUAAUUUUUAUUGGAUGUAAAUUAUAGUUCAAUAAAGCUGAUUUUUAAAACACUCAA